This 1630-nucleotide unclassified non-coding RNA is filed under the name Hevea brasiliensis (rubber tree). The record is from RNAcentral. Lineage: Eukaryota; Viridiplantae; Streptophyta; Magnoliopsida; Malpighiales; Euphorbiaceae.
AGUGAUGAGGAUAAAAUGGUUCGAAAAUCCCUUUAUCAACUUCUCAAGUCAGUAAUUUUACCUAGCUGCAAUGAGGUAGUUCUUCAUUUUCUCUACUGCUUGAAAGCUCAUAUUUGUAGUGGUUGUAAAUUGGACACCUUAUAAGGACAGUCUUUAAAUUUGGCUCCGUAAGUUCUGGGUGGUGAACACUUUUAUAUUUUAUUUUAUUUUAUUUUACUUUGCAGUCUUAUCUUCUUUAUUAUAACUUCUUUUAUUGUUUGGGAUAGCAAGUUUCCCAUCUAUCUUUUUAUCACCCAAAGCAUGAGACAACUGUAUUUGAUCAUUCUGUUAAUGUUUGUUUGGUUCUUAUUGAUGGAAAAACAAUUCUAGGAUGUGCUUUGUUUUUGUGUGGGUGUUUCUGUGCUUGAUGUCAGGGACAAUGUUUAAAAUCUUGAACACUUUAUGCACAAAUUGUCAUUUAUGAAUCUUUACAAUGUCCACUUCAUGUAAAAUUAACGAUCAGAAAUAUAUUCAUUCUGUACUACCUACCCUAGGACCAUAAAUUAGUGCUUAUCUCUUUUAUUUAUAGUGUCUUUUUCUUUCAUCUUAAUAUAUUUUAGAAAAAGUCAAGAAAUAUGGGUUCCCUAUUUCUUUCCUCCAAUCUUCUAUUGUGGAUUUUCAAAUACACGUGUCUUGUUUCUUUCCUCUAAUCUUCUAAUACGGAUUUUCCAAAGCACUGGUAGAAAUUUCAAUUGUCUAGUUGUUUGCAGAGUUCAAUAUCCCGGUCAGAAUAGUGUUUGUUGGUAUGUGAAUACAACCUCAAACGAGAAUAAAGAUUUACAGUUUCUUUUCAUUUAUCAUUGAGGAAUAGCUCAUAGAUGAGGAUGAGGAUGUAAUUCAUAGGAUCAAAACAAGUUGGAUGAAAUGGAGGAGUGCGACGGGUGUUCUAUGCAACUAUAGGAUCCCUAACAAAGGCAAGGAAAGUUUUGCAGAAUUGUGGUCAAGCAACCUAUAUUGUAUGAGAGUGAGUGUUGUGCAUCUAAUGUACAACAUACCUACAAAAUGAGUGUGGUAGAGAUGCGGAUGUUCAGAUAAAUAUUUGUUAACACAAUAAUUGAUAAAACUAGGGAUGACAAAGUCGAUAAGAGACAACAUGUAGCACACAUUAGGGAUAAAAUAAGAGAGGUUUGAUUGAGAUGAUAUGUCAUGUCAAUGUAGAGUAUCAAAUGCCUCAGUAUAAAAGUGUGAUAAGUACAGAGAGAAGGGACAUAGGAGACUUGAAAUGACAUGGAGGGAAAUUAUAUCGAAAGAUUUACAAUUUGUGGAUAUUGAUGCGGAGUUGGUUUCUAAGUUCUAACAGAGCUAAAUGACAAAAAGAAUCCAUAUAGUUGACUUCAACUAGUUUAGGACUAAGAUUUAGUUGCUAUUGUGUUGUUGAAUGGUAAAAAGUUUAGGCAUUUCGAUAUGGGUUCCUACUUUUAAUUACUAGUAUCUUUGUUGUUAGAGGGUCAUGGUUAAUAAUUUCUCAGAAAUGAUUCAUUUAAGACACUACCUGAUUAUAUUUUUAUCAGUUUUAUCUUUAUCACUCUAUCCAUCCCUGGUAUUGAUCCUGGUGUUGUUGACUGUGUAACAUCAUGUUCAAUAUAUUCUC